AUAAAGGGUUUCAGAGAAUCACCCCACAUCGACUCUCUGCCCUCAUCACUCUGGUACUGCCUGGACGCAUUCAUGUACUUGCUUACUGGUCCAUCUUCCCUCAUUAGGAUGUGAGCUCCAUGCAGGCAGGGGCCCUGUCUGUCCUGUUCACUCCUGUGGCCCAGUGCCUUGACCAGUGCCCAGCACCAGGCUUUCAAUGGAUAUAUACUGAAUAAAGAAAUAAAUGGGGACGCCUGGGUGGCUCAG
This is a long non-coding RNA of Lontra canadensis (Northern American river otter), 246 nucleotides long. RefSeq lists it as uncharacterized. NCBI's taxonomy places the organism in Eukaryota, Metazoa, Chordata, Mammalia, Carnivora, Mustelidae. The record is from RefSeq and is a predicted model, not a curated record. The transcript has 3 exons.